Molecule: long non-coding RNA, 546 nt
Organism: Chiroxiphia lanceolata (lance-tailed manakin)
Lineage: Eukaryota; Metazoa; Chordata; Aves; Passeriformes; Pipridae
Exons: 3
Source: RefSeq, a predicted model, not a curated record
AGGACAAGGCCAGGACAAGACAUCGGCCCAUGGCUGGGGAUCAGGGUCAGGCCUGGUGAAGGGAAGCAGAGUCAGUCAAAAAAAUGGAAGGACAGGUAGGUCUUCAGGGUUGAGCAGAGGUGGUGUUGGAAUGUGGGAAUGUGAGUGGGCCUAGCUCGGUAAGGCCCAUGUCUUGGCACGGGGAACCGGAGUCCAGCCCUGUUGCAGCAUUGCCGGGGCAGUGGCAGAGGGUCCUGGGCACUAAAAUGGUGUCCUGAGUCACAGGCAGGGUGGGGAAGGCCCCAGACAUUAAAGCCCAUUAUUGCACUCACGUUCCUUUCAGAUGUUCAUAGCAACUGAGGUGUAUGUGCACAGAUUAUCAGAGAAACCAAAUUUGUCUCAUGUGCAAGUAAUAUCAUUAGAAAUAUUAGAGGCAGAUUCAUCAAUAUUUGGGACUUCAUAAGUGAAACCAAAAAAGAACAAGUUAGAGCAUGGAGACAAACAGUUCUACUGUAAUUCAAUCUUAAUAAGAAAUUGUCAAUUCCUAAUAAAGUCUUUUCCAGUCUA